CACACAAUAAACAUAAGAUUAAAAGUAAUUCAAGCUCUAUUAUUUUUAAUUUUAGUUUCAUUGGACUCUUUCGAGGAUAAGCUCGAAAGUUGUUGUUGAGAACCAUAUUAUUUUAAAUCGUUGUGUGGGCCUAAAAUUAGCCAUUACAAAAGUUUGUUAUAAAAUAACGGAGCGUGGAACUAAAAAUAUUACUAUAUGUAUAUUCCCUAAAAACUUAUAAGAACAAUAACCUUAACUAAAAGAUUAAUAUGCCUAUGCUAGGAUGAGUAUUAUAAAGUGUUUAUAUAUUGAAUAAAUCAAUAUUCCUACAAAGAUAUUUUUUAAAAAAAUUAAGGAAAAGGAACUCGGCAAAUAUUGUUUCGCCUGUUUAUCAAAAACAUGGCUCUUUGAGAAAGACACAUAAAGAGUCGAACCUGCCCAGUGAAAUUUUUUAAACGGCCGCGGUACCCUGACCGUGCAAAGGUAGCAUAAUCAUUUGCCUUAUAAUUGAAGGCUGGCAUGAAUGGUCUGACGAAAGCAAUACUGUCUCUUCCUUAUUUUCUAGAAAUUAACCUGUAAGUGAAGAGGCUUACAUUAAAUUGAAGGACAAGAAGACCCUGUCGAGCUUAAAAACAAAGUAGAUGUUAUUUAUUUAAAAAAAUCAAUAAGCUAUAUUUAUACUUUUUUAGUUGGGGCGACGAAGGAACAAGCAAAGCUUCUUUUAUUUUUGUAAAUCUAUAGAUUUAGAUCCAGCAAAGCUGAUCAAAAGAAUUAGUUACCGCAGGGAUAACAGCAUAAUCUCCUUCAAGAGACCUAAUCGAAAAGGGGGGUUGUGACCUCGAUGUUGGACUAGAAUAUCCUGGAGAUGCAGACGUCU
Molecule: ribosomal RNA, 856 nt
Filed under: Sermyla riqueti
Lineage: Eukaryota; Metazoa; Mollusca; Gastropoda; Thiaridae
Description: partial large subunit ribosomal RNA
Rfam family: Eukaryotic large subunit ribosomal RNA (bases 322-856)
Source: RNAcentral